AAAGAUUCACAUUCUGAUCAUCUCCACCAGUGAGAAACUGUCUACGCGUCUUCUUCCCAAACCUUAAACAGUUUACAUUCCCCGAAUGCGCCACAAAUUCCUGCAAUUUGUAGCCACGAUUAGCCAUUCUGCACCGCAAAUCGGAUAACUCGCCGGAAAACAACAAAGCAUAAGAUAAGAAGCACCGACAAAAGUCACCGUCCGUCGUCAACAGAGAGAAGAAAAACUUCCGAUUGUGGAUGACAGAGAGGGGAAGAAAGGAAGGGAGAGUGAGUGCAAAAUCUACAGAGAAAGUUAGGAAUCAAAUUUUGUUGAAGAAAAGUGAAAAAGCUA
This 333-nucleotide unclassified non-coding RNA is filed under the name Hevea brasiliensis (rubber tree). The record is from RNAcentral. Lineage: Eukaryota; Viridiplantae; Streptophyta; Magnoliopsida; Malpighiales; Euphorbiaceae.